UGCAGUCGAACGGUAACAGGAAAUAGCUUGCUAUUUUGCUGACGAGUGGCGCACGGGUGCGUAACGCGUAUACAAUCUACCUUUUGCUGAGGGAUAGCCCAGAGAAAUUUGGAUUAAUACCUCAUGGUAUUAUUGAUAGGCAUCUAUUAAUAAUUAAAGGUUACGGCAAAAGAUGAGUAUGCGCCCCAUUAGCUAGUUGGUGAAGUAACGGUUCACCAAGGCAACGAUGGGUAGGGGUCCUGAGAGGGAGAUCCCCCACACUGGUACUGAGACACGGACCAGACUCCUACGGGAGGCAGCAGUGAGGAAUAUUGGACAAUGGGCGAGAGCCUGAUCCAGCCAUGCCGCGUGCAGGAAGACUGCCCUAUGGGUUGUAAACUGCUUUUAUACAGGAAGAAUAAGCCUUACGUGUAAGGUGAUGACGGUACUGUAAGAAUAAGGACCGGCUAACUCCGUGCCAGCAGCCGCGGUAAUACGGAGGGUCCGAGCGUUAUCCGGAAUUAUUGGGUUUAAAGGGUCCGUAGGCGGAUGAUUAAGUCAGGGGUGAAAGUUUGCAGCUCAACUGUAAAAUUGCCUUUGAUACUGGUCAUCUUGAGUUGUAUUGAAGUA
RNAcentral lists this ribosomal RNA (609 nucleotides) under uncultured bacterium. Its description in RNAcentral is "bacterial SSU rRNA". It matches the Rfam family "Bacterial small subunit ribosomal RNA", at positions 56 to 659 of the family's 1533-position model. The record is from RNAcentral.